This 177-nucleotide ribosomal RNA is filed under the name Triticum aestivum (bread wheat). RNAcentral's name for it is "partial small subunit ribosomal RNA". The record is from RNAcentral. Lineage: Eukaryota; Viridiplantae; Streptophyta; Magnoliopsida; Poales; Poaceae.
ACCAUAAGAACUGUUGAGAGAAUAUGGGAAAGAGCUCUUAAACAGAUUGAACAAGGGGAGAAAGUUGAUGUCUCAAAUCAAAAGCCAGGUAGAGUUGGCCGCAAGCGGAAAGAUUUGGAUCUGUCGAGGGUGGUGACAAUCCCAUUGAACAGAAGGAGAACAUUGCGAGGUCUGUCA